CGCCAGCAGCCGCGGUAAUACGUAGGAGGCGAGCGUUGUCCGGAUUUACUGGGCGUAAAGCGCGCGCAGGCGGCACUGUAAGUAAGGUGUGAAAUCUCCCUGCUCAACGGGGAGGGUGCACUUUAGACUGCAGAGCUAGAGGACGGUAGAGGGGGGUGGAAUUGCUGGUGUAGCGGUGAAAUGCGUAGAGAUCAGCAGGAACACCCGUGGCGAAGGCGGCCCCCUGGGCCGAACCUGACGCUGAGGCGCGAAGGCUAGGGGAGCGAACGGGAUUAGAUACCCCGGUAGUCCUAGCAGUAAACGAUGGCCACUAGGUGUGGGGGGUGUUGACCCCUUCCGUGCCGAAGCUAACGCAUUAAGUGGCCCGCCUGGGGAGUACGGUCGCAAGACUAAAACUUAAAGGAAUUGGCGGGGGA
Molecule: ribosomal RNA, 416 nt
Filed under: uncultured bacterium
Lineage: Bacteria
Description: bacterial SSU rRNA
Rfam family: Bacterial small subunit ribosomal RNA
Source: RNAcentral